AGUGAACGCUGGCGGUAGGCCUAACACAUGCAAGUCGAACGGCAGCACAGUAAGAGCUUGCUCUUACGGGUGGCGAGUGGCGGACGGGUGAGGAAUACAUCGGAAUCUACUUUUUCGUGGGGAUAACGUAGGGAAACUUACGCUAAUACCGCAUACGACCUACGGGUGAAGGCAGGGGAUCUUCGGACCUUGCGCGAUUGAAUGAGCCGAUGUCGGAUUAGCUAGUUGGCGGGGUAAAGGCCCACCAAGGCGACGAUCCGUAGCUGGUCUGAGAGGAUGAUCAGCCACACUGGAACUGAGACACGGUCCAGACUCCUACGGGAGGCAGCAGUGGGGAAUAUUGGACAAUGGGCGCAAGCCUGAUCCAGCCAUACCGCGUGGGUGAAGAAGGCCUUCGGGUUGUAAAGCCCUUUUGUUGGGAAAGAAAAGCAGCAGGUUAAUACCCCGCUGUUCUGACGGUACCCAAAGGAUAAGCACCGGCUAACUUCGUG
This 491-nucleotide ribosomal RNA is filed under the name uncultured bacterium. Its description in RNAcentral is "partial 16S ribosomal RNA". It matches the Rfam family "Bacterial small subunit ribosomal RNA", at positions 29 to 507 of the family's 1533-position model. The record is from RNAcentral.